Molecule: ribosomal RNA, 253 nt
Filed under: uncultured bacterium
Lineage: Bacteria
Description: partial 16S ribosomal RNA
Rfam family: Bacterial small subunit ribosomal RNA
Source: RNAcentral
UACGAAGGGGGCUAGCGUUGCUCGGAAUCACUGGGCGUAAAGCGCGCGUAGGCGGAUUGCUAAGUCAGGGGUGAAAUCCUGGAGCUCAACUCCAGAACUGCCUUUGAUACUGACGAUCUCGAGUCCGGGAGAGGUGAGUGGAACUGCGAGUGUAGAGGUGAAAUUCGUAGAUAUUCGCAAGAACACCAGUGGCGAAGGCGGCUCACUGGCCCGGUACUGACGCUGAGGUGCGAAAGCGUGGGGAGCAAACAGG